Long non-coding RNA from Drosophila mojavensis, 1791 nucleotides. RefSeq lists it as uncharacterized. NCBI's taxonomy places the organism in Eukaryota, Metazoa, Arthropoda, Insecta, Diptera, Drosophilidae. The transcript has 4 exons. The record is from RefSeq and is a predicted model, not a curated record.
UAAUUCUCGACAGGCAUGAAACCAAUACCCGCAUUUCCUUGUUUUUCGCCCCAUCCCAUUCGCUCCAUCAGUUGAGACAGAUGCCGGAGCGGGACCGGGACUACAGUUUGUGAGGCGAAUCCGCCGCUCUCGAUUUGUGUGACGCGCAUUUUGCAGAUGUAAGUGGCAUAAACCCAAAAAUGAUGAAACACGAGAGCGAAAUCCGUAAAGCUAGAAUAGGUGGACGAUGUAUGCUCUUCUGACCAUCUACUCGUGACACUAGCCCUAGCCGAAAGCUCACAUUCUAUUAUUACACUAGAAAUAGAGCGGCACACAGAUUUCCUCAACCUUCCCGCUUCUUGCCCUUUUAUUUGUUUUCGUUAUUGUCUAUUUCGGGCAAUGGGCGCACCGAAGCAAAUGCUAAAAGCGAAAGCCGACUGAGCAGUCUAGCAGGGAGUUGAGAGAGCAUCGGAGGAGGAGCAGGAGGCGGACAGACGGUACACGCACGCAUAUAAUAAUUUCCUGUUCAAUGAGCAAUUACUGUAAUAAAGAUACAUCUCGGCUACUCUAUUAUACGCAUCGCAUUUAUAACCCCCAACUCCCCACAACUCCACUCCCCCAACCGACCAACUCAGGGACACCAAAUUUGGUCUAGUCCAUGACAAUGAUGAUGAUGAUGAAGAUGAUGAGAGUGAAGACGGAAGAGGAGUGACAUCACACAUAGAGCAUGGAGGCAGGAGAAAAGCCCAAACAGACGAGACUAAUACCAGAUUCAAGGUCUAUUCAAUUGCAGCUUGCCGCGAUGACCACGAUUACAAUUGUCGAUUGCCAGGCCUGGGUUGGGACUCACAUCUACUUCAAGCGCUGGGAGAUUAGACUAUAACAAGGAACUGGGGCUAUAUAUAUAUUUAUAAGAAGAGAUAAUUGGAGUGCGCAAAAUCGAAAAUUGUUGGCAACAUUUCAGUCCGAGAUGAAAUCAAACGCAACUCAGAUUCAUUUAUACAGCACGGAGCAUAUAUAUGUUGCAUACACUAGCAUCAAAUCGGACUAAGAGCACUAGUAGAUUCGUCAAAUUAUAUGUAUUUAGCUAAAGCAGAAAAUCAUUUUGUAAUCAGUUUCCCACGGUUAAAAAACUUUGGUUGUUCCUUCUGUACAACAAAUUAAUUGAAACUAAAUGAAAGCUGAAGCAAACGCAGAGCUCGUCUCAACAGGCUCAAAUUCCAGCAAGCACUAUUCUUCCAUAGGUCGAAUGCACAUUCAGGGUCAAGCACCCUUCCUAGUCAAUUGAUAUACAAGACAGAAGAUAAAUCUGAAAAUAGAAACGUUAAUAUCUCCUACUUUUUUGCAUGUCGUACUCUCAGCCUUAUUUGGAAUAAUGUCUUCCGGUUUUACGAUAUCAGGACUUUAAUCAACUCGCACAAAGUCUCACAACUUGAAGAUCCUUGAAGAUUCUUGAAUGGGUUUCAAUACAAAGUGGAGCGAAAACAUUCAAGGAAAUUGUACGAUUUGUAUCUGAAGUCCUGCAGCUUCUGUAAGAGCGCAACGGUCGGAAAAAAGGGGAAAUACAGUUCGGGAUUACAAUUUCAGAUUUCAAAGAUGAAAGGAACAGCCUGACAUAUAUAUAAUAUGUAUGUCUGUGCUUAUAUAUAGCCAUCAGUCUUUCAAAGAUCACGACGAAGAACCCAUUAGCUCGUCUUAAGACAGGAAGAAAAAAAUGAAUAGCCUUUUAUAGCAUACGAAAUCUAGAAGUUGGCUUCCUUGACGCAUUUCCGAUAAUUGGAAAUGGAAAUAAAAGUGUCGACACAAAGAAAA